This is a long non-coding RNA of Gopherus flavomarginatus (Mexican gopher tortoise), 1084 nucleotides long. RefSeq lists it as uncharacterized. The transcript has 4 exons. The record is from RefSeq and is a predicted model, not a curated record. Lineage: Eukaryota; Metazoa; Chordata; Testudines; Testudinidae.
UCAAAAUUCCAAGAUGAUGUGACAGACAUUUCAGAAAGUCUUUAGUGGUCUUACAAGAAUGAAUACGACUGAAACAGCAAAGCUUGACUGACAAAUUUGAGAUGAAAAUGCUAGUUAUGAAAGUUUUAUUAUAAAAUUGUGAUUACUGGUUUCUUAAAUGGCUGUUGUUCAUUCCUGUUAAUGCCAUGAUCUUUUCACUAUUUCUCACCAAUAGGAUGUAAAAAAAUAAAAAAUCAACUGACAUGUUUUUGGAGCUUUUUGUUUGUUUGUUUUAGGAAUGAGCACAAGCUCAAGGAGGCAGGGCAUAACGUAUGAGGUGGAGACAUCACACAGUAACAGUAAGGAGACAAGCUGACAGCAUGCUUCUCUUAUGAACAGAGGGUCACAGCCAACCUUGCUGCUACAAGCUGGGACAAAGAUUUUUUGGGAGAAGCUUCUUUUGGGGAAUCAGCAUCAUCAACAGCAGGAUUAUACUCCCAGACUACGAUAUCAUUCUCAACACCUUUAAGGUUGAAGUUCACUAAUUUGUCUAAGGAGAAUCCUCCAAUCUGGAGAGAGCAGAGGAAAAGAGGAAAAAACACCGGACAUCUUUUUUAUGUGAAGGAUUUCAAAGCAGCCUCUUCCAUAGUAUUAAUCAUCCAGAAAAAAGACCCUCGCCCUAUCAGUGCACAGUAUGGAUCUGCAUUAGAGGUGAAUCAGGACUAUGCAGCGAAGGAGAUGGAGCCACACACUGAACAAUGAGAAAACAAAAGAGAGAACAACUGCUCAUUAAGUGAGCACUGCCCAUUCCAUGCACUGAACGAGGCUAGUAUCCUGUGGAAAAUAGUAUGUGAUCACGUAAUUAAAGAUGGCAUCAUAAUGCUUGUGCACAGGAGGGAGAGAUUAAAAUUGCUCAACCAACCUUAAUUGUAGCAUGUUCUUUUAACAUAUAUUAUGCACACAAAAACUAUAUUGAUAUUUUGCUGAUGGUGACUAAGUGUCUUACUCUCCCGCAUAAGGGAUAGGCAAGAAACAAGCAGGUAAUAAUUAAGUUACAAUUAUAACAGAUUUAGAAAAUAUCAAUCUCAGACUGAUAAUACUUAAA